GUGUCAGCAGCCGCGGUAAAACGUAGGGGGCGAGCGUUAUCCGGAAUUACUGGGCGUAAAGGGCGUCUAGGCGGCUUGCUAAGUCUUGUGUGAAAUCUCCCGGCUCAACUGGGAGGGUGCAUGGGAAACUGGCAGGCUUGAGACUCGAAGGGGGGUGCGGAAUUCCCGGUGGAGCGGUGGAAUGCGUUGAUAUCGGGAGGAACACCCGAGGCGAAGGCGGCACCCUGGUCGAGGUCUGACGCUGAAGCGCGACAGCGUGGGGAGCGAACGGGAUUAGAAACCCCCGUAGUCC
This 292-nucleotide ribosomal RNA is filed under the name uncultured bacterium. Its description in RNAcentral is "partial 16S ribosomal RNA". It matches the Rfam family "Bacterial small subunit ribosomal RNA", at positions 505 to 796 of the family's 1533-position model. The record is from RNAcentral.